Molecule: transfer RNA, 84 nt
Filed under: Clostridium sp. CAG:302
Lineage: Bacteria; Bacillati; Bacillota; Clostridia; Eubacteriales; Clostridiaceae
Rfam family: tRNA
About the family: Transfer RNA (tRNA) molecules are approximately 80 nucleotides in length. Their secondary structure includes four short double-helical elements and three loops (D, anti-codon, and T loops).
Source: Rfam by way of RNAcentral
GCUUGUGUGGCGGAAUUGGUAGACGCACUGGACUCAAAAUCCAGCGGUAUAAAAGCCAUGUGGGUCCGAGUCCCACCACAAGCA